UACGGAGGGUGCAAGCGUUAUCCGGAUUCACUGGGUUUAAAGGGUGCGUAGGUGGGUUGGUAAGUCAGUGGUGAAAUCCCCGAGCUUAACUUGGGAACUGCCAUUGAUACUAUCAGUCUUGAAUACCGUGGAGGUUAGCGGAAUAUGUCAUGUAGCGGUGAAAUGCUUAGAUAUGACAUAGAACACCAGUGGCGAAGGCGGCUUUCUGGGCCUAUCCUGACGCUGAGGAGCGAAAGCGUGGGGAGCAAACCGG
Molecule: ribosomal RNA, 253 nt
Filed under: uncultured bacterium
Lineage: Bacteria
Description: partial 16S ribosomal RNA
Rfam family: Bacterial small subunit ribosomal RNA
Source: RNAcentral